This 131-nucleotide non-coding RNA is filed under the name Elusimicrobiota bacterium. Its description in RNAcentral is "Elusimicrobia bacterium FMN sequence". It matches the Rfam family "FMN riboswitch aptamer (RFN element)". From Rfam's summary of the family: The RFN element is a highly conserved domain that is found frequently in the 5'-untranslated regions of prokaryotic mRNAs that encode for flavin mononucleotide (FMN) biosynthesis and transport proteins. This element is a metabolite-dependent riboswitch that directly binds FMN in the absence of proteins. In Bacillus subtilis, the riboswitch most likely controls gene expression by causing premature transcription termination within the 5' untranslated region of the ribDEAHT operon and precluding access to the ribosome-binding site of ypaA mRNA. Lineage: Bacteria; Pseudomonadati; Elusimicrobiota. The record is from RNAcentral.
AAUGUUCUUCGGGGUUGGGUGAGAUGCCCUACCGGUAGUAAAGCCUACGAGUCCCGCGAAAGCGGGAUUGAAUCCGUGAAAUUCGGAUGCCGACGGUUGGUUGCACAUAGUCCGGAUGGAAGAAGAACGUA